This 460-nucleotide ribosomal RNA is filed under the name uncultured bacterium. RNAcentral describes it as "partial 16S ribosomal RNA". It matches the Rfam family "Bacterial small subunit ribosomal RNA", at positions 338 to 795 of the family's 1533-position model. The record is from RNAcentral.
CCUACGGGAGGCAGCAGUGAGGAAUAUUGGUCAAUGGACGAGAGUCUGAACCAGCCAAGUAGCGUGAAGGAUGACUGCCUUAUGGGUUGUAAACUUCUUUUAUAUGGGAAUAAAAUGUUCCACGUGUGGGAUUUUGUAUGUACCAUAUGAAUAAGGAUCGGCUAACUCCGUGCCAGCAGCCGCGGUAAUACGGAGGAUCCGAGCGUUAUCCGGAUUUAUUGGGUUUAAAGGGAGCGUAGGUGGAUUGUUAAGUCAGUUGUGAAAGUUUGCGGCUCAACCGUAAAAUUGCAGUUGAAACUGGCAGUCUUGAGUACAGUAGAGGUGGGCGGAAUUCGUGGUGUAGCGGUGAAAUGCUUAGAUAUCACGAAGAACUCCGAUUGCGAAGGCAGUUCACUGGACUGCAACUGACACUGAGGCUCGAAAGUGUGGGUAUCAAACAGGAUUAGAUACCCGAGUAGUC